RNAcentral lists this long non-coding RNA (3041 nucleotides) under Gossypium barbadense (sea-island cotton). RNAcentral's name for it is "long non-coding RNA (GBAR_LNC000868)". Lineage: Eukaryota; Viridiplantae; Streptophyta; Magnoliopsida; Malvales; Malvaceae. The record is from RNAcentral.
CCGAAUGUGAAAAGAAAAAGAUGAGUUUGGAAGCUUUGAAUAUUCGGCACUUUGAAAGCUUAUUUCGGGUAUGUGUUUUACUCAGUUUUUUAUAAUUUUUACGUUUUUGAUAUCGUUGCUUCGAGUACUAGUAAACCCAUGCCUUAAUUUUUGGAUUUAAUGAAGAAUUUGAGAUUUUCCAUUGUUUAUUAUGUGAUGAAAUUGUUGUUUGAUGAUGAUUAAUAAAUCUUUGAUGUUUGAUUUUCAUGUUUAAUUAAGUGAUUUUUUUAUAAAAAUGUGUAUUAAGGACUAAAUUUAGAAAUUUAUAAAUUGAGGGGUCAAAACGUGAAAUAAAUAAAAGAUAUGGGUUGCUAGAGACCUAAGAUAAAUUCGGCCUAACAGGGGUUUGAUGAAAGAGUAAUUUGUGUUAUUUUGAGAUAGGGAUUAAAUUGUAAAAAUGUGAAAUGUUAGGGGAUAAAAUACAAAAUGCCCAAAUAUGUGUCUUUAGAUAAAAUUUAAUGAAAUGUUGAAUAAGUGAGUUAAUUUUGAUAUUAAUUAGAUUGGCAAAAGUGGAAUUCAGAUUUGGAUCGGGGGGAAAAUCAAAGUGGUCGAUUAGUCGUCUCGUUCUGAUUAUCGUUGUCCGAGGUAAGUCCUUAAGUAAUUAAAUUUGAUUUGCUGCGCGCUUAAGAUUAUAUAAAAUGAUAAGUAAUUAUUUGACCUUUACAAGUUCGAUUUGCAAUAAGUAUAUUGUAUUUAGGCUAUAAAGCCGAAUAUGAAAUGGAUGAUUUAUGUAUAUAAUGUGGCCGAAUGACUAUUAAGUGAUGAUGUGAAAGUGUGUAAUAUGUGUAUACAAUUUUAUUGUACUUGUUUGUAUAAAGUCGAAUGUGAAUUGAAUGGUAUAUAUGUGGUGACCGAAUAGCUAUUAUGAAACAAAGUCAAAGAAUGUGAUAUUUGUAUAAUAGAUGAAUUGUGACUAUUGUUCCUACUUGAUCGAGGUUGUGUGUGAAAUAAUUUGUGAAUAUGGCCUAUAGCCAAAUGGUUAUUAAAAGUGAAACUGGGAUAGUGAAAAGAUUAUAUGUUCCUUGUGUAUGAUUAUUGAACCGAAAGUUAAAGGGUAGGUGUACAUUUUGUGCUUAUAUUCGAAUGAAGCAAUUGAAUUGCUAAUGUGAUAUGUUAUGUGAAAUGUGUUUACAUGUGAAUAAAUAUGCAAGACACUAGAAAUGUAUCCGGGCUAAAGUCCCGCAGGCUUUGUGCUGGAAAUGUAUCCGGGCUAAAGUCUCGCAGGCUUCGUGCUGAAAAUGUAUCCGGGCUAAAGUCCCGCAUGCUUCGUGCUGGAAAUGUAUCCGGGCUAAAGUCCCGCAGGCUUCGUGCUGGAAAUGUAUCCGGGCUAAAGUCCCGUAGGUUUUGUGCUGGUAAUAUAAUUUCGGGUUUUAUACCUAGCAGGCCAAGUGCUGAUGAAUUUGAUAAAAGUAUACAAUUACAAGAUCCUACACUAAGUUGACAAAUUGAAAGUGCAUUACAUAUUAAGUUGGCCAGGUAUGUAUCAUGUACUCGUAUGCGAUUUUGAUUUGAAUUAAAUUAUAAAUAUAUAAAGUGAUGCAUCUGUGAAUAAGUGUUAUGACUAUAAAUGUGAUCGUGAUAUAUUCGGUAAAUGUAUGAAGUUAUGUGAAGUGAUUCUAUGUUUAUAUUCAAAUAUAAACACUUGGUAAUUGUGGAAAGGUUUGUGGAAGUAUAUGAUUUUAUAUUUAGGUGAUUACGAUCAUGGAAAAUUAAAUGUGAAUAUGAUAUUGUAUUUUAUUCGUUUCAAUUGAACUAAAGCUGAUAGUGAAGCAUUUUAAUGCCUAUGUUAUAUGAGUUCGAUCUUGAAUGACAUGAUAUACAUGUUUAGAUAAUUUGAAUGCAAGGAAUGUGUGAAAGAGCAAAUUUGUAAUAAAUCUGCUUGGGACAGCAACAGUAGCAUGAUUUUGAAAAAUCAUCAUAAAUUGUGAAAAUUGAAUUAGAAGCUGAAUAAAUUAUGUAAUUAAAGAUUAAUUAGUCUAGUUUCUUAUAAAAGAAACCGUGUAAACAAAAGAAUUGUAGAUAAUGAGAUAUUUGAAGUGGCGUGGGAUAGAGUUAAAAUGACUUUGAAAUCCCCUGUUUUGUAUUUAGAAAAUUAUUGUAAAUUGUACAAUGAUGAUUAUAAGAUAAAAUUUAUAUUAUUAGACUCUUUAAUGAGUCUAGUUUCAAAUUAAAUAAAUGAUAACAUAUUUCGAAUUCUGUAUAAUGAGAAAAUUGAUUCGUAGUGAAGAGUGGUCAGAUUAGUCAAACAGUGAAACAUGGGAAACUUCAAUAAAAAUUUGGUAUUGAUUGGUCAAACCAAAAAUUCUAAAAAUUUUAUGGAUGGGAAAUAUAUGAGCCUAUUUUCAGGGAAAAUUAACGACACUUGAUUUGGAGUUUCUUAGCUCCAGUUAUAAAUAAUUUAGUGACUGCUGCUCAGGAAGACAGCUUGUAGUGAAUUUGUGAUUUUGUUGCAAACAUGGUUAAAACUAGUUAAUAAGAUGCUUUUCGAGUUCUUAUGAUCUUAUUUGUGAUUUCAAUAUUUGGUUUUAAUUGAGUUCAGAUUCAAGUGAGGUGAAUUUGCUAAAAAUGCAUUAUGUUCAUGGAUACUUGGCCAAAAUGGCAAUUAACUAGGAAUGAUUUCUUGAAAAUUUGAAAUAAUCGAUCUAUAAGUAAAUUAAUUGUUUGCAUUGCUUAAAACUUACUAAGCAUUGAAGCUUACUCCUUGUUCUCUUUUCCAUUUCUUAUAGGUUUAUACUUUAGCUCGAGUUGGAAGAGCCGGAGAUAUCAUCACACUAUCGAGUCAUUAUGUGAGUUGAGAAGAUUGUAUAUCAUCAUGGUUUAAGGCAUGUAUAGGAUAGACUAUAGGUAGAAUGAUAUUUCGACUUUGUAUACUUUAUAGCCAUGCGAAGAUGGCUUGCUCAUUUUGUUUAGAGAAGCCUUAUAAUUGAACUAAUAUGUUGAAAUGUUUUAGUUAUAACUUGAUAGUAGUUAAUUUGUUAUUAGAUAUUCGGUUAUGUUUUGAU